CUCCGCCCCUGCCAGGGGUGGGCGGAGCUUCCCAUCUCAGCCUCGCCGGCCGGCCGGCUCGGGCGCCAUUUUGAGAGGCUCUUUGUGUGUCGGGGCUGCGAGAGACACACGGUGCUUGCCCGGGCAGCGCAGGGAGCGGGGCCUUGGCCGCUGUGACUGGCCCUUCCCCGGGAGCGCGCGGCGCAACCGGGCCUGAGCGCAUGUUUUGCUAGGCUGAGGCUUUUUGAAAUACCAGCCCUUUAUUAAUGGGACCUCCAGGAUGAUGAAUGCCUUUUUUAUUUUUAAAAUGGAGGAGGAUACAGAGACGCCAAUGGAUCAGACUGACUCUCCUACUGAAAGUGGUGAUAUGAUAGAAACCAAAAGCAAGGGACCAAGAGGUCAGGGCAGAGGAAGAGGUGGCAGAGAUUUUGGAAACAAGGGACAACUUUCAUAUGUCAGAGGGAAAAUGCGAGGCAAAACACUUAAUGGCAUUGGGCCCAUGAGAUAACAUGUCUAUAACAGUACAACACUUAAAUACUUGUGGCACUUUGAAUGUGGAUGUAUUGGCUGUCAUACUUACAGAUGUGUUAACAAUUAUACCAGGAUAGUAGCACAAGGGUGCCACCUGGAACUGUUGCGUACUGACUUACCAACCUGGGCUCUCUUUACACUGUACUGCUGUGACAGGCCCUCAACCCCCUCCAGCACACGUACAGAUCUGUACUGAAAACAAGUGUCUUUCCAGACAUGGGAUAGGAAGAAUGCAUCCAUAUCCUGACCCCCGAGGCAGAAGAGGAGGCAGAGGGGGGCCACCUUUUUUACCACCCCCACCCAUGAGAGGAAUGAUGAGAGAUUCUUUCUCAUUUCUACCACCAAGGCAUGGACUUCCUCCACCACCACCAGGACCAAUGAGCUUCAGAGGCAGGCCACCUCACCCCAGAGCCAGAGGGAUGCUGCAGAUGCCAAGAGGUCGAUUCCCUCCGCCAAGAGGGUAAGAAUGUUUCUUUUGUUUUGUCUUUUUUUAAAUUAAUUUUAUUUGAAACCUAAAAUUGCAGUAAUUUUAAAGCUGUCUCUUGCAAGUAUUAAAAUCAAGGGCUAUAUCCUAUGUAAACAUUUCAGAUUCCAUUGUUGUAGUAAUUUUAACUGCUGUGGAAGACUUUUAAGUAUGCAUGAGAUUGCUAAGAACAAAAUAAGUUUAAAUCCAAAUUGUAAUAUAGUGUUGUAACUCUUUUGUUAUUUUAAAAUAGUUAUCUUGAGGGGAAAAAAACAAUUAUGAUUUUAUCCUUUUACACAGCUUUCCCAAUGGACCCGGUAUACCAUCCCGUCCGCCACCUGGACGGAGCCAGAGAUGGCCUGGACCGCCAGGUGGCAGACACUAUUAAAGAGGCUUAUUCUUUAAAUUGUAUAGCAGGGCGCUUUCUUGUUAUCUUAAAACUAUUUGAAAUGGCUGGACUAAGAACUGCCUAUAAAAUGUUAAAGAUGGCAAAGAAUAUUAAUUGAACUUAGACAACUAAUAUUUUCCAGCAGCCCUCAUGCACCAGUUGGCAAAAGCCAUCUAUUAAAAAACAAUCUGUGACUCCUUGGACUUUUUUCAAGCAUAUCUUUUUUUAAGCCUAGGCUUUAUGGACACUGACUCCUGCGCACUGAACGUAAAAUGAAAAACACGUCUGUUACAAUAGGUCAAGCCUUCAUUUAAUAUACAGAACUCUGAUUGCUUUUGACAGUUGUGUGCAGCUUUUUUUAGUGUAGAACGUGAAUUUGUUUUAAUGCUAUGAUUUUGUGUGUAUAAACAUGAACUUUUUUUAAGGGUUUGAAAUCACUUACAAAUUUUAUAACAGUAAAUGCAGCCAACUGCUUAAUAUUUGGGAAGAGUAUACUGUACUACAUUUUGAAGUGUUACCUGUAGAACCCUGCACAUCCGCGGGAAUCUGCUUUCUAUCCACGGAUAUCCACAGACCAUUUUUGCUGCUCGCAGCUCGGAUGCGGAUACAAAUUUUGUAUCUGCACAGGGAUCUGCGGCACAGUCACCGGAAUGGAAAGGCUGUCACCCAGCCUGCAGGCUCCAGCUCGCGCUCUAAAUCACGCAGCAGUGGGCUGGGCAUUCUGGGAGUUGUAGUUUAUCUCCUCCCUCUGAGCAAGCUGGGGACUACAACUCCCAGAAGGGAGUAAGCCAAGUGCCAUUUUGAAGGUGUGGUUGUUCUUUAAAUGAGCAGGUGGCAAUAACUGUGCAUUCGAGCCUCCGCAACUGCGUAGGGGUGUCCGAGCCCCCCAUGGGGAGGGCGGUGCUGCAUAGAAGGGCCCAGAAUUGUAGCCUUCCUGCCAGGAGUGGGGAGCAGAGCAGGAGGGCUCUGGGGAGAAGUCAGGGGGUGAGGGGUCAGGGAGUGAAGGGUGGUUGAGGGUUGGGGCUUGACACAGACCUGUGUCCCUGCUGCACAGUGACCUGUGGAGCUGUUUAGAGCCCUGCAAAUCCAUGGAUAUCCACAGACAAUUUUUGUGAAUUGGAUGCGGAUACACCUUUUGUAUCCAUGCAGGGCUCUAGUUACACUAAAUGUAAUGGUUAAACAGAAAUUUGUGAAUGUUAAUUUCGAAAAGUGUCAGUAGUUCAUGAAUGAACUUAAAAAACAACUGUGGACUGGUUUUAAUUUUAUGAUAAUUGUUCUUUAUACACAGCUUGACCUCAUUGUUUAAAUGUCCAGUUGUGUAAGUAACUAUAAUUUCUAAACAAAGUGUGUAACUGAACACUUGACCAAUUGUAUAGUACAACUGGUGUAUGCAUUUGCAUUACCUGUAGGAUAAAAUAAAGUUAAAAUGUCAGUUACUUCAAACUAUGCUAACACACAGUAUUGUUAAAAAUCAUAAUUGUUCAUACUGUUAAACGUAUGGAUGGCUGUAUAAUCACCCUAAGAGUUAAUUUAACUUCUGUUAAUGUGAAAAAAAAUAGAUUUCAAAAUAGUGAAACCUGUAAUUUUAUGUUGCUUGUUACUGUUGAAAUUAUAGAGGUAAUUGUAAUACUUUGAAACAGUGCUGUUUAACUUCAAGAAUGAUCACAGUCUGUAAAUUAUUUUAAUCCUUAAAACGUGCUGUGUUCUUUUGUGCUGAGGGCUGAAUUCAAUUUUUUUUAGCAGUUUGGUGCAGGUGGGCUUUUUAACUUAAGCAAUCCCUUCACUGGGUCCAAAGCCUGCAAGCAAAAUAUAAUAUAUGAAGAAAACAAUAAAUUGAGGUAUGAGUGCAAAAAUAGGUGGGUAUUUUCCACUUUACACCUGGCUUCCAGUAAAUCAUGAUAAAAAUUCUUGAAGUACAAUAUUUUAUUAGUAAAUUUAUAGCUGGUUUAUAGCAAUUCUGAUUCUCAAUGUACUUAAUUUUUCCUGAAAGCUAAUAUUUACCUUUCACGUUUUAUUCUUGAGAUCAGAAUAUUUAUACUAUAUUUAAUAUUCAGAGUUGCAUAUUGGGGCAUGGGUUUAUUAAACAUUAGUCAUUUUGGCCAGAAUCUUUACUAUUAAGUAAAGCUUUUUGUGCAUGUUUUGUUUUAUUUUCUUUUGUAUACAUAUUUUAUAAAACAUAGUGUUAACCUCUACCUUACUCUGCUAAGUGACUCGAUAGGUUUUAAAUCUAAUUCUGUUUGUAGUAUGGUGAAAAAAUAUGCUAUUAUUAUCUUCUAAAGGGUAACAUAGUCACCCUUUGAGGCCAGUUGUAGAUGGUAUGCAGACCUUCUGGAGAGCCUACAACAAGCCUUAUCUGAGGUGAGAACAUUUUUAAAACUUCUUUUUAUCAUCCACAAUUUCUCUGUCAUUUACAGACUAAAAAAAUUAGGCAAAUUUUUCUAACAAAUGUACAUGUGUUUAGUAACUAGGUUAGCCAAGAGAAAAUGUGGUGAGAACUUUAGUAUUAAAGCUUCUGUUCUUUAUCUUGUGUUGCAGCAUAUGCCAAACAAUAGUUUUGGAGUCAGUUACUAUAAUGUCCUUCGUUUGUUCUAGUUGUAAUUUCUAAAUUUAGAAACUAUUUCACUUGUUUUUGCUAUUGAGACCUAUAUUUUGAACUCUUUGGAAUUUUUGCUAUGGGGAAACUAUGAAUGGCAGAGCUGAAAUUCAAGCUGGAAGUUCUGUUGAGUUCAAGGAGCAAAAGAUUGGUAUGUUCAUUAUGACUUAAUUUCUUAUACUGUAAUUACUGAAUAUUGUAGAAGCACUUAGGUUUUCUGCAAAGUACUACCAAACUUUUUAGGAAAGAAGUAUGAAUACUGUACAUUAGAAUACAGAAUAGAAUGCCAGUGAUGACUUAUAGUUCUCAGUAUGUGUAAAAAUAGGUAGUGUCUCUUUAUUUUAAAACUGAUAUUCAGUGGGAAAGUUUUCCUGUCAUCUACAUUUUUGUUUAAAAAAAUAAAUUAAACUUUAAAACAUUAUUUUAUUGUGAUCCAAAAGACAGCAUUUACACAGGCUGUCUGAGAGAUACUGUCCUGAAGUAGUAAUUAUUAACACCAAGUGUAUAUAAAAAUAAACAGUAGAGUAUGCAUACUAAAACAAUCAGCUUGAUUGAUGACUUACAAAACUGCAUAUUCUUGCUAUCAGUGUCCUGUUUCUAGUGCACCAGCUGGAGAAAAACAAAAUAAAAAACAAAACCCAUCGGGUCUUUUCAGAUAUAGUUCCAAUAUAGCAGUAAAAUAAAAUUAAAUUGAGAGAAGGGAUUCUUCCCCCCUCUCCCCCCAAAAAAAUAUAAAGGGGUUUUCAAACAGCAAGGAGGAUUAGGCCUAUCGUAUGUCCAUUUUCUUCUUUUAAAGUGUUUUGAUGAGGACUUCUGAGGUUAACUUUUCAAACCCAGAUAUAUUGCAUGACUAUUAGGAUGGGAUACAUUAACAGACAAACCAAAUUGGUUAUACAGAUUUGAAUGAGAAGCAAGUGAAAAGACAACAUUGUUUAUAAAAGCCACUAUGUAAAUUCAUACACUGUUUAGUGUACUAGGAUUACCAUAAUCUUCUGAGAUUUGUGCACUGACUACUUUGGCAGAAGAUAGGUAAAAAGGUAAAUUUUAUCUUUCAUUUUCUCUCUUCUUCUCCCCCCUUUUUAUUUUGUAGAACUCAGCUUUCUUUGAAAAGUUUGUUAUGGCAGUUUUUUUUGUCAGCAAAGCUAAUCUUUCUGCUAAUCUCUAAUUUCUCAGCAGAUGGACCAUCACCGUUUGAAGGAGCAUCUAGUCAAAAUUAUAAGUAUCCUAAAGAACUCUCUCCACUAGUUUUGAUAAACUCAUUCAAUAAUGAUGUAACUCUUUUGUAGUGCAGGGAUUAACAACUUCCUCUAUACAGAAAGGUGAGAUGCUAGAUUUUAUUUUCCUGCAGCAGCUUGGGGGAAAAAACACCUUAUUUUUAAUAGGACUUAUUAAAAUGCUGUUCACAGUUUUCAUUAUUUCCAAUUAGGAAGAGCUCGCUUUUCCAAUAUCUAAGAGUUUGAGAGUAAUUAGUAUGUAAUUAAAAAAAAGUUUCAAAGAAGAAACUAACACAAAAUCUGAUGUGAUAGGUGUCCUUAUCACAAAGAUAUGAAAUGUUGAUUGCGUACUGUCAAAUAAUAUUAUAUGAUAUUAGUUGGAUAGAUUCUUUAUUCUUAUUUUUAGAAGUUGCAUUUUUUAUUCUUCAAUUUAUUAUUCUAUCAAAGAAUAUUAUUGAAAUGCACCUAGCAAGUUGAGCACAGUAAGUGUAAAAAGUAAGUGUCUUUUUAAGGAAGCAAAAAUAAAAUUAUCUUAAUGCUGCCUUGUCUUUUUUUCCCUCCCUUUGCUGUAUAGAAAUAUUGUACUCUGAAAAACAAUGUAAGUGGGGAAGAUUUGCAUUCAGGAAUCUGCU
Molecule: RNA transcript, 5800 nt
Organism: Mauremys reevesii (Reeves's turtle)
Lineage: Eukaryota; Metazoa; Chordata; Testudines; Geoemydidae
Gene name: formin-like protein 20
Exons: 7
Source: RefSeq, a predicted model, not a curated record